GGAGAGGUGUCCGAGUGGUUUAAGGAGCUAGUCUUGAAAACUAGUGAUGCUUUCAGCACCCAGAGUUCGAAUCUCUGCCUCUCCGCCA
RNAcentral lists this transfer RNA (88 nucleotides) under Clostridiales bacterium. RNAcentral's name for it is "tRNA-Ser". It matches the Rfam family "tRNA". Rfam says of the family: Transfer RNA (tRNA) molecules are approximately 80 nucleotides in length. RNAcentral also lists the same sequence under 3 other names. Lineage: Bacteria; Bacillati; Bacillota; Clostridia; Eubacteriales. The record is from RNAcentral.